GCCGGCGAGUGGCGAACGGGUGAGUAAUGCAUCGGAACGUACCCAGUAGUGGGGGAUAACUUACCGAAAGGUAAGCUAAUACCGCAUACGCACUGAGGUGGAAAGCAGGGGACCGCAAGGCCUUGCGCUAUUGGAGCGGCCGAUGUCGGAUUAGCUAGUUGGUGGGGUAAAGGCCUACCAAGGCGACGAUCCGUAGCGGGUCUGAGAGGAUGAUCCGCCACACUGGAACUGAGACACGGUCCAGACUCCUACGGGAGGCAGCAGUGGGGAAUUUUGGACAAUGGGCGCAAGCCUGAUCCAGCCAUGCCGCGUGAGUGAAGAAGGCCUUCGGGUUGUAAAGCUCUUUCGGCCGGGAAGAAAUCGUGGUGGCGAAUACCUGCCAUGGAUGACGGUACCGGACUAAGAAGCACCGGCUAACUACGUGCCAGCAGCCGCGGUAAUACGUAGGGUGCGAGCGUUAAUCGGAAUUACUGGGCGUAAAGCGUGCGCAGGCGGUUGUGUAAGACAGGCGUGAAAUCCCCGGGCUCAACCUGGGAACUGCGCUUGUGACUGCACGGCUAGAGUACGGCAGAGGGGGGUGGAAUUCCACGUGUAGCAGUGAAAUGCGUAGAGAUGUGGAGGAACACCGAUGGCGAAGGCAGCCCCCUGGGUCGAUACUGACGCUCAUGCACGAAAGCGUGGGGAGCAAACAGGAUUAGAUACCCUGGUAGUCCACGCCCUAAACGAUGUCGACUAGUUGUUGGAGGGGUAAAACCCUUUAGUAACGUAGCUAACGCGUGAAGUCGACCGCCUGGGGAGUA
Molecule: ribosomal RNA, 800 nt
Filed under: uncultured bacterium
Lineage: Bacteria
Description: bacterial SSU rRNA
Rfam family: Bacterial small subunit ribosomal RNA
Source: RNAcentral